RNAcentral lists this ribosomal RNA (113 nucleotides) under uncultured bacterium. Its description in RNAcentral is "partial 16S ribosomal RNA". It matches the Rfam family "Bacterial small subunit ribosomal RNA", at positions 1373 to 1482 of the family's 1533-position model. The record is from RNAcentral.
CCCGGGCCUUGUACACACCGCCCGUCACACCGUGGGAGUUAGUUGCUCCAGAAGUGGCUUGCCCCAACCCGCAAGGGAGGGCGGUCCCCAAGGAGUGGCUGGUAACUGGGGUG